Molecule: long non-coding RNA, 312 nt
Filed under: Lathyrus oleraceus (garden pea)
Lineage: Eukaryota; Viridiplantae; Streptophyta; Magnoliopsida; Fabales; Fabaceae
Description: Pisum sativum (pea) long non-coding RNA (PSAT_LNC004380)
Source: RNAcentral
CAUUCCAAAGAUGAAAAAUAUGAUUCAAAAGAGUGAAUGAAGUCUGCAACUGUUUCUCCAUGAGGUAUAUCAAAGGAGACAAUGUCAAUCCCCACAAGACAUAAAGGUUCAGAUGCAAUGGCGACAUAGUCGCCAUGAUGAGAGACAUUGAAAUUAAAAUUUGGGAAUGUAAUACCCAAUUUAUCAUAGACAAUGUCAAUCCCCACAAGACAUAAAGGUUCAGAUGCAAUGGCGACAUAGUCGCCAUGAUGAGAGACAUUGAAAUUAAAAUUUGGGAAUGUAAUACCCAAUUUAUCAUAAUCCUGAAAUAAA